Molecule: long non-coding RNA, 686 nt
Filed under: Homo sapiens (human)
Lineage: Eukaryota; Metazoa; Chordata; Mammalia; Primates; Hominidae
Description: HSALNT0062571
Source: RNAcentral
CAGCUUUAUUCAUAACAGCAAAAAAACUGAAAACAACUCAAAUGUCCAUCAACUGGUAAAUGAAUUAACAAACUGUGGUAUAACUAUACAAUGCAAAUACUACUGAAUAGAAGAUAAAACAGGAACUACCUACUAAUACAUGUAACAAUAUCAGUAUCUCAAAAGUAUUACAUUAAGUGAAAGAAGCUGGACACAAAAGACUGGUUAUUUGAAAUUCUAGAAAAGGCAAAACGAAAAGUGACAAAACGCAGAUCAAUGGGUUUCGAGGGGAUAGAAGUGGGGGUGAGGGAUUGACUACAAAGGGGUAAAAGGGAAAUUUUUAGGUGAUACAAAUGUUCUAUAUCAGCUGGGUGUGGUGGUUCACGCCUGUAAUCCCAGCACUUUGGGAGGCCGAGGCAGGUGGAUCAUGAGGUCAGGAGUUCGAGACCAGCCUGGCCAACAUGGUGAAACCCCAUCUCUACUAAAAAUACAAAAGUUAGCCGGGCAUGGCGGCGCGUGCCUGUAAUCCCAGCUACUCAGGAGGCUGAGGCCAGAGAAUUGCUUGAACCCGGGCAGACGAAGGUUGCAGUGAGCCGAGAUUGCGCCAUUGCAUUCCAGCCUGGGUGACAGUGCGAAACUCCAUCUCUGGGGAAAAAAAAGUUCUGUAUCAAGAUUGUGGUGGUGGUAAUUACACUACUAUAUGUUUG